GUUCUGGGCGGUGGGAGGUCAGGUAGUGAGGCGUGAGUGAGGCGUGAGUGAGGCGGCAACUGGGCAAGCGCGCAACCCAGAGCCAUGCCUUCCGAUAAAGGAAAGGGCCGCCUACGUAAGCUAAGACGACGAGGAGUGAGGCGAGGAACCGAAAAGCAGGAAGAUUCUGAAGCAAAUGACCCUGUGGAGAGUCAGCCUCCCAAGGAGCAGCCAAAAAACAUGAGUCCCGUCGUAGAGUCCAACAUAGCGGCCCUGCGCCACCCUGAGAAGAGGCCUCCCACCCGGCGGCAGCGGGCGGCCCGGCGCCAAUCUGAGCUCAGGACGUGGGCCUUCAGGGUCUUCUUGGUGUUAAUACUGUUCAUUUGGGGGCUGUUGCUGCUGAGCUGCUUUAAGUUUGGACUUACGGAAUCGGUAUCUCCAACUGAAGUUACCCCAGGGGAAGUUAAUGGCCAGUCUCUGAAAAAAACACUUAUGGAAAUCCUGUACAAGUUUUUCUUUCCAACAACCUGCACUGUAAAGGAGAACCAAGAGGUAAAGGCUUGCAACGGGCUGCUGAACCCUACUGAGUUGGAGUGUUUGACAUCCAAAUGCUGUUUUUCACCUGGGACCGGGACCUGCUUUAUCCCAUUAAUAAAUAAGCCUGUGCAGAUGAUCCGGCUAUUUGGGCUUUGUAUGAGCAGCUUGUUACUCCUGGGAAGUCUGCCCAUUUGUUGCUGCUGUCUUUGGCAGAGGAGCAAAUACGCCAAUUCUUUACGUAUGAAAAAUGAAAGAAUUUUGGAGGGUGUGAAGAAAGAAAGAGAGAAACUGAAGGGGGGUACCGAAGUGUCAGCAACAACAACAGAAGAAGAGGAUGGUAAUGAAGAUGAGAAGGAAAGUGAAGCAUUGCUUUCCCGUUGAGUUGAGUGCACACCUUCCAGAGCAGAGGAGACUGUCCCAGUUGUCCAAGCCCGACUGUUCAUUUUAGAAAGAUAGAAAUUUGUUGUUUUUGUCUUUACCCUCAAGUAUAAAAUAAAGUUCACAGUUCUGUUUUUAUGCACCAAACAAGAAUCCAGAUUAUUUCUGUUAAACGUAGUUUCUAUAGAAUUUUUAAAAAUAUG
This 1097-nucleotide long non-coding RNA is filed under the name Chinchilla lanigera (long-tailed chinchilla). Its description in RNAcentral is "lncRNA (ENSCLAG00000025490.1)". The record is from RNAcentral. Lineage: Eukaryota; Metazoa; Chordata; Mammalia; Rodentia; Chinchillidae.